ACACUAUGUGUACGCGGUAGAGGAGCUUUCUGUAUGGGUUGAAGUCGUACCGUAAGGAGCGGUGGACUGUACAGAAGUGAGAAUGCUGGCAUAAGUAGCGAGAAAUAAGUGAGAAUCUUAUUGGCCGAAAACCUAAGGUUUCCUGAGGAAGGUUCGUCCGCUCAGGGUUAGUCGGGACCUAAGCCGAGGCCGAAAGGCGUAGGUGAUGGACAAUCGGUUGAUAUUCCGAUACCACCUAUUUACGUUUGAGAAAUGGGGUGACGCAGUAGGAUAAGAUGUGCGCACUAUUGGAUGUGCGUCUAAGCACUUAGGCAUGCUUGAUAGGCAAAUCCGUCGAGCUAAGCUGAGGUGUGAUGGGGAGCCAUUUAUGGCGAAGUAUCUGAUUCCACACUGCCAAGAAAGCCUCUAUCGAGUGAAUAGGUGCCCGUACCGCAAACCGACACAGGUAGGUGAGGAGAGAAUCCUAAGGCCAUCGGAAGAAUUGCUGUUAAGGAACUCGGCAAAUUGACCCCGUAACUUCGGGAGAAGGGGUGCCUACGAAAGUAGGCCGCAGAGAAUAGGCCCAAGCAACUGUUUAGCAAAAACACAGGUCUCUGCUAAAGCGAAAGCUGAUGUAUAGGGGCUGACGCCUGCCCGGUGCUGGAAGGUUAAGGGGAACACUUAGCGUAAGCGAAGGUGUGAACUUAAGCCCCAGUAAACGGCGGCCGUAACUAUAACGGUCCUAAGGUAGCGAAAUUCCUUGUCGGGUAAGUUCCGACCCGCACGAAUGGCGUAAUGAUUUGGGCACUGUCUCAACAGCAAAUCCGGCGAAAUUGUAGUGCAAGUGAAGAUGCUUGCUACCCGCGAUUGGACGGAAAGACCCCGUAGAGCUUUACUGUAGCUUAGCAUUGAAUCUCGGUAUUGUCUGUACAGGAUAGGUGGGAGACUUGGAAGCUUGGGCGUCAGCCUGAGUGGAGUCAUCCUUGGGAUACCACCCUGACAGUACUGGGGUUCUAACCGGCGGCCAUGAAUCUGGUCACGGGACAUUGUUAGGUGGGCAGUUUGACUGGGGCGGUCGCCUCCUAAAAAGUAACGGAGGCGCCCAAAAGUUCCCUCAGCGCGGUCGGAAAUCGCGCGAAGAGUGCAAAGGCAGAAGGGAGCUUGACUGCGACACAUACAGGUGGAGCAGGGACGAAAGUCGGGCUUAGUGAUCCGGUGGUACCUCGUGGGAGGGCCAUCGCUCAACGGAUAAAAGCUACCUCGGGGAUAACAGGCUGAUCUCCCCCAAGAGUCCACAUCGACGGGGAGGUUUGGCACCUCGAUGUCGGCUCGUCGCAUCCUGGGGCUGAAGUAGGUCCCAAGGGUUGGGCUGUUCGCCCAUUAAAGCGGCACGCGAGCUGGGUUCAGAACGUCGUGAGACAGUUCGGUCCCUAUCCGUCGCGGGCGUAGGAAAUUUGAGAGGAGCUGUCCUUAGUACGAGAGGACCGGGAUGGACCAACCUCUGGUGCACCAGUUGUCACGCCAGUGGCACAGCUGGUAGCUAUGUUGGGACUGGAUAAACGCUGAAAGCAUCUAAGCGUGAAGCCAACCUCAAGAUGAGAUUUCCCAUAGCGUAAGCUAGUAAGACUCCUGGAAGAACACCAGGUUGAUAGGUCAGAGAUGUAAGCAUGGCAACAUGUUAAGUUGACUGAUACUAAUAAGUCGAGGGCUUGACCAA
RNAcentral lists this ribosomal RNA (1696 nucleotides) under Clostridium botulinum. RNAcentral describes it as "bacterial LSU rRNA". It matches the Rfam family "Bacterial large subunit ribosomal RNA", at positions 1212 to 2925 of the family's 2925-position model. The record is from RNAcentral. Lineage: Bacteria; Bacillati; Bacillota; Clostridia; Eubacteriales; Clostridiaceae.